UUUUCCCGACAGUGAUAAGCUCAAAACAAAAAUUCUAACAAUAAAAUCUCUACCAAAUUAACAACUUUCCUAACAAUUUGUAGAUAAAAUCCUAACAAUAAAAUCAACAACUUUUAUAUAAUAUCUCUACCAAAUUAACAACUUUCCUAACAACUUGAUGAACUAAAUCGGUUUAAUCCGAUCAACAUAGGUUCAAGUCUGUUCUGCAUCAUUCGCUUCUGCUGCGCAGGAUCUCGUCCUCGAGAUUAGUUGGAUUUGUAAACAGAUAGGAAACAACCAAGUGUGUAGAAUAAAGUGAUGCAGCCCAAUGCUUGCAUGUCGAACCACUUGUGUCAUCUGAGCUUCCGGUUUGGUAUUGAAGUUGGAAGAACAACUGACAAGUUUAUGAGAUUUCGUAAGGUUUGAUACCAAUAAGGAAUAUGCUUUCAAUGCAAUCUGAAGCUCUAGUAUGGUCGAUUCAUAUUGCUAGGGCAAUAAGGGUAACUCGAUCUGUAAUCUUACCUCCUCAACACACUGAUUUACCUUAUCUUCAUGAAUCAACUCUUAGAUUUUCUAAAUCUAACUGGGGCUCGGCCACAUCUGGAACUUCUUGGCAAUCGAAUGUUGUGGAUGAAACUGGAUCAGAAUUGUCGACUUCCAACUGUGCUAUAGGUCGUGUACUCUGUUGAGCAACUAGGGUUUCCAGUUUAACUUUUAGUUGAAUCCACCGAUACUCAUCUCUAACCUUACCCAUCCAUCGAAAAUCAUCUUCAGCAAUUUUAGCACCAUUUUCAAUAUCUUGUAACCUUCUUUCUUCUUCCUCCGAAAAUAUUAUGUUAAAAUUAAGAUGAGAUAUUUGCCUUUGUCUAUACCACCAUCUCAAGUCAUCUAGUUUUUCCAUUCGAAUAUCAUUUCUUUUUCUCUCAAAAUAUGACCUCUGAUCGUACAACCAUUCAUCAAACUCUACUCCCGUCAUCUCGCAUAUUUCUUUUAGGGCAUGUUUGUUUCGACGUAAGUAGACUUGGGGUGGAAGUGGAUUUGGAGUUGAAGUGGAGUUGGGGUGAAAAUUAGUUCACUUUUGCUGUUUGUUUCUAACUGUGGAAGUGCAGUUCUGUGAGUUCUGUUGUUUGUUUGGUAGGAAGUAGAUGACGUAAAAAGUGUAUAUUUCCACCCCUGGUAUAGUUACCUCCGAAGUGAAAUUAUUGUCUAUUUUGUAACUUAUAGUUUAUAAUAAAUUAUAAUAAAUAAAAAUUAAUAUAAUUAUAUAUGUAUNUUUUCGUCCACAAGCCCAAAACUUUUGACGAAAUAGAACCGUCAAAUAGCCUAAGCUCUGAUACCUAAUCUGAUGCAGGACGGGAUAUAGGGUCCUACAUUUUUAGAGGGCUCUAAAAUAUUAUUUAUGAUUUUAAAAGCGUUUUGAAAAUUUGAAAGAUUUGAAAUACUUUUUUUUAAAAAAAAAAUUUCGUAAAUAAAAAUUAAAGAAAAGGUAGAAGACAACGACGGUGGACACACUUGGCGACGGCAACAAUAAUGGGAGGUGAAGGAAGUGCGGAUAGAGCCGGCGCUACUAUCAGCAGAUGUUGUUGAUGUUCUGGCAGCAGGCACGUCGAAGGUGCUGGCAGCAGGUGCGUGGACUUCAGGUUGGAGAAGAAAUUGCAAAAAGGAAAAGAUAAUAUAAAGGGACUCGGUCCCUACGGACUCGCUCCGGUCGACGCAUAAAUGCGAAGGAAUAUUAGAGAACACAUCUCAUUUUUAAAAAAUAACAUUCUUCUUCAUUCAUUCUUUAUCGUCCAAUGCAGAGAAUAUUUAAAGAGCUUUUCCCGACAGUGAUAAGCUCAAAACAAAAAUUCUAACAAUAAAAUCUCUACCAAAAUUAACAACUUUCCUAACAACUUUUAGAUAAAAUCCUAACAAUAAAAUCAACAACUUUUAGAUAAAACCUCUACCAAAUUAACAACUUUCCUAACAACUUUUAGAUAAAAUCCUAACAAUAAAAUCAACAACUUUUAGAUAAAACCUCUACCAAAUUAACAACUUUNUUCCUAACAACUUUUAGAUAAAAUCCUAACAAUAAAAUCAACAACUUUUAUAUAAAAUCUCUACCAAAUUAACAACUUUCCUAACAACUUGAUGAACUAAAUCGGUUUAAUCCGAUCAACAUA
This 2141-nucleotide long non-coding RNA is filed under the name Ananas comosus (pineapple). RNAcentral's name for it is "long non-coding RNA (ACOM_LNC000806)". Lineage: Eukaryota; Viridiplantae; Streptophyta; Magnoliopsida; Poales; Bromeliaceae. The record is from RNAcentral.